This 829-nucleotide long non-coding RNA is filed under the name Pandoravirus neocaledonia. RNAcentral's name for it is "hypothetical ncRNA". The record is from RNAcentral.
CGUCGCCGUGCACGUGGCGCACAUAGGUGGCGCACACGGCGCGAAAGAGCACGGUGUCGAUUUGCGGGUGGGCGUCGACAAUGCGCUGCGUCUCUUCGCCCAGCAUGGCGUCGGUCCAAUGGUUAAAGGUGUCGAGCGCGCGCCCGAGGGCGUCUUCGUAGGCGCGUCCACUAAAGCCCUUGCGCACGAGGGCCUCGUCGACCAGCGCCAGGCACUCGUGCGCCGCGCGCUCCAUGCACUGCAAGAGCGUGAGCGGACCCUCUUCGUGAAAGAUGCCGCCGUGGAGACCGCCGGCAUGGAUGGCCUUCAUAAACAUGGCAUAGUAAGAGGCCGACGCUCCGUCGGUCGGCGCCGCCGCCGUUGCCGCGGCAUCUGUGCGCGUACCAUGUCGGUCGCCGUCGCCCGGAAGCAAUGGCAUGGCAAGCCCGCGCGCCUCCAUGCGUAGGCGGUUUUCCUUGGGGUUGCGCCCCUUUUCGCGUGUCUGUCACCAAAGCGCGCGCGUGUUGAUUCGCUCGGCACGCGCGCACAGCCUUCGGCCGCCCUUUUUUCUCCUCUAUUCCUUCUCGCCUCUUUUUUACCCUCGACCUUUUUCUUCUUGAUUUGGGCGUCGCGACCGCGUGUGUGUCUUUCUUCCUGUCAGACGGGAGCGCCGUCUCUCUGCCCUCUUUCCUCCACUUUGAGAGGGGGGCACAAAAGGCCACCGUCGGGGCUCGACGCCCUCUCUUUCUUUCAAAUAAGAAAAGACAGACGACACCCAGCCGGGCACUCGCUCGAUGACGAAAAAACACACAAUAAAUAAACCAGGCGCAACGAGCGCGAGGCCCAGUAA